This 82-nucleotide transfer RNA is filed under the name Prevotella sp. CAG:755. It matches the Rfam family "tRNA". From Rfam's summary of the family: Transfer RNA (tRNA) molecules are approximately 80 nucleotides in length. Their secondary structure includes four short double-helical elements and three loops (D, anti-codon, and T loops). Lineage: Bacteria; Pseudomonadati; Bacteroidota; Bacteroidia; Bacteroidales; Prevotellaceae. The record is from Rfam by way of RNAcentral.
GCACCCGUGGCGAAAUUGGUAGACGCGCCAGACUUAGGAUCUGGUGAUUUCGGUCGUGUAGGUUCGAGUCCUAUCGGGUGCA